RNAcentral lists this ribosomal RNA (894 nucleotides) under uncultured bacterium. RNAcentral's name for it is "bacterial SSU rRNA". It matches the Rfam family "Bacterial small subunit ribosomal RNA", at positions 8 to 916 of the family's 1533-position model. The record is from RNAcentral.
AGAGUUUGAUCCUGGCUCAGGACAAACGCUGGCGGCGUGCGUAACACAUGCAAGUCGGACGAGGUGGAAUCUUUCGGGGUUUCAUUGAGUGGCGGACGGGUGAGUAACACGUGGAUGACCUGCCGAGGCGUGGGGGAUACCCUUCAGAAAUGGGGGCUAAUACCGCAUGUGGUCUUCUGGGGCGACCUGGGAGAAGAAAGCCCAUUUGGGCGCGCGUUGAGGGGUCCGCGGUCGAUUAGCUAGUUGGUGGGGUAAGGGCUUACCAAGGCGACGAUCGAUAGCUGGUCUGAGAGGAUGAUCAGCCACACUGGGAUUGAGAACGGCCCAGACUCCUACGGGGGGCAGCAGUGAGGAAUAUUCGGCAAUGGGGGCAACCCUGACCGAGCAACGCCGCGUGGAGGAUGACGGCCUUCGGGUUGUAAACUCCUUUUCUCCCGAACGAGAACGGACGGUACGGGAGGAAGAAGUCUCGGCUAACUACGUGCCAGCAGCCGCGGUAAUACGUAGGAGACGAGCGUUGUCCGGAGUUACUGGGCGUAAAGGGUGCGCAGGCGGCGGGUUGCGUGUGUGGUGAAAUCUCCUGGCUUAGCUGGGAGGGUGCCAUGCAAACGGGCUCGCUUGAGUCUCGGAGAGGGGCGUGGAAUUCCGGGUGGAGCGGUGAAAUGCGUAGAGAUCCGGAGGAACACCGACGGCGAAGGCAGCGCCCUGGACGAGGACUGACGCUCAGGCACGAAAGCUGGGGGAGCAAACAGGAUUAGAUACCCUGGUAGUCCCAGCUGUAAACGAUGUCCACCAGGUGCUGGAGGUAUCGACCCCGCCAGUGCCGAAGCUAACGUGAUGAGUGGACCGCCUGGGGAGUACGGCCGCAAGGUUAAAACUCAAAGGAAUUGACGG